CAAAAACAUAGCUUAAUGACUUCACCAUAUUAAGUUUAUCCUGCCCAGUGAAUAUUUAAACGGCCGCUUUUGUGCUAAGGUAGCAUAAUAAUUUGCCUUUUAAUUGAAGGCUAGAAUGAAUGGACAAAUAAAUUAAUACUUUAUUAUAACUAACCCUAAAAAUUAAAUUUAACGUGAAAAUUCGUUAUCACUCUAAAAAGACCAAAAGACCCUGGGAGCUUAAAUCUUAUAGUAUUUAUACUGCAAGAGAUUUUUGUUGGGGCGGCAAAGAAUAUACAUUCUUAUUCUCUUAUAAAUUUACCUAAAUUAAUUCUAAAUAAGCUACCCCAGGGAUAACAGGCUACUCUUUUUUAAAAGUCCACAUUUACAAAAAGAAAUAGCACCUCGAUGUUGGCUUAAGAAUAUGUAAAAUGUAGCAGUUUUACUGAAUGGCUUGUUCCGCCAAUAAUUUCUUACGUGAUCUGAG
Molecule: ribosomal RNA, 466 nt
Filed under: Iphitime hartmanae
Lineage: Eukaryota; Metazoa; Annelida; Polychaeta; Eunicida; Dorvilleidae
Description: partial 16S ribosomal RNA
Rfam family: Bacterial large subunit ribosomal RNA
Source: RNAcentral